CAUUAAGAAGCUAUGCAACAGCACUAGCCUUUUAAGCUAGAAAUAGAGGGCCACUAAUCCUCCUUAAUGA
This 70-nucleotide transfer RNA is filed under the name Milvus milvus (red kite). RNAcentral's name for it is "tRNA-Lys". RNAcentral also lists the same sequence under 1 other name. Lineage: Eukaryota; Metazoa; Chordata; Aves; Accipitriformes; Accipitridae. The record is from RNAcentral.